GUGAGGAAUUUUCCGCAAUGGGCGAAAGCCUGACGGAGCAAUGCCGCGUGAAGGAUGAAGGCCUAUGGGUUGUAAACUUCUUUUCUCAGAAAAGAAUUAUGACGGUAUCUGAGGAAUAAGCAUCGGCUAACUCUGUGCCAGCAGCCGCGGUAAGACAGAGGAUGCAAGCGUUAUCCGGAAUGAUUGGGCGUAAAGCGUCUGUAGGUUGUUUAAAAAGUAUUCUGUUAAAGAUUAGGGCUUAACCCUAGAUAGGCAGAAUAAACUUUUAAGCUAUAGUUUGGUAGAGGCAGAGGGAAUUCCCGGUGGAGCGGUGAAAUGCGUAGAUAUCGGGAGGAACACCAAAGGCGAAGGCACUCUGCUGGGCCAAUACUAACACUGAGAGACGAAAGCGAGGGGAGCAAAUGGGAUUAGAUACCCGGGUAGUCC
This 426-nucleotide ribosomal RNA is filed under the name uncultured bacterium. RNAcentral's name for it is "partial 16S ribosomal RNA". It matches the Rfam family "Bacterial small subunit ribosomal RNA", at positions 354 to 796 of the family's 1533-position model. The record is from RNAcentral.